Molecule: ribosomal RNA, 301 nt
Filed under: uncultured bacterium
Lineage: Bacteria
Description: partial 16S ribosomal RNA
Rfam family: Bacterial small subunit ribosomal RNA
Source: RNAcentral
CAGUCGCCGCGGUAAUACGUAGGGGGCAAGCGUUGUCCGGAAUUAUUGGGCGUAAAGCGCGCGCAGGCGGUCAUUUAAGUCUGGUGUUUAAUCCCGGGGCUCAACCCCGGAUCGCACUGGAAACUGGGUGACUUGAGUGCAGAAGAGGAGAGUGGAAUUCCACGUGUAGCGGUGAAAUGCGUAGAUAUGUGGAGGAACACCAGUGGCGAAGGCGACUCUCUGGGCUGUAACUGACGCUGAGGCGCGAAAGCGUGGGGAGCAAACAGGAUUAGAUACCCCGGUAGUCCCUGUCUCUUAUACC